Long non-coding RNA from Fukomys damarensis (Damara mole-rat), 2044 nucleotides. RefSeq lists it as uncharacterized. The transcript has 3 exons. The record is from RefSeq and is a predicted model, not a curated record. Lineage: Eukaryota; Metazoa; Chordata; Mammalia; Rodentia; Bathyergidae.
GGCGGCCUGCAGAUGAGGCCGGAUGAAGCGCGUCGGAGAGGAUUGUGAGUCCCGGGUGGGUCCCGCAGGGUGCGGAGCGUCCGCGGGGAGCGCUGAACCCCCAGCGCCCAAAAUCCAAGGCCGACACAGCUGUCUGGGCCCGCCCCUCGUGCGCGCGGGAACCCAAGAGGAGUUUGAUUUCUUCCGCCUUCCUCUUCCUUCAGCCGUCCACGCUCUGCCCUAGCAUGUCCCCUGUUGACUUUGUUUAUAACCAGGAUCUAGCAGCUUCCAGAGCCUGGCAGUAAAGCCAGCCCUGAAGUUGCAAGAAGUUUGAGGAGGAUGAAGAUGGGAGAGGCGCGCACAGCCACUGGUCUCAUUUGGCACAGAAGGCCAUUCUUUCCGCACACGUACAUAUUUUCUUGGCCUAAUCUAUUUGCUUUGUUGCAAGGCAAAAGAAGAAAAGCUUUUUAGCUCUUUGAGACUGCUUCUCCCCACAUCUACUAUCCAGGGUCUUUUGCUUCUAUAGUAGAGCCUGCAGAAAGGUAGGCACCCCUGGACACGGGUAAAAAGUCUGAAUACAGUCUGCGCAGUCUCUUCUGGCUAGCAGUAUGCCCCAUUUGUUGUGCACCUACUACGUGUCGGGUACCGCGAUAGGCUCUGGAAAUAGUUGUGGACAAGAAAGCAGGCGUCACCCACAUGAAGCUUCUUGGAGCUGACUAGGGGAAGUAACAGAGUGGCUAUAGAGGAAGGGUCGCUGGGUAAGAAGGGGGACACCCAGUUAAAUCUGAAUGUCACAUGCACAACAAUAGUAUACCCCAUAAAUUCCAUGGAACAUAUUUACACGAAAGCCGUUUAUCUGAAAUCCAGUUUGAUUGAAUGUCUUAUGCUUUUACUUGUUGAAUCUGGCGACUCUAUGGAGGAGUUUGGGAGAAGGUCGUUUUGGUUUGUUUUACCUUCUGCGUUCAAGAAGAGCAUAUCUGAGAGAACAAACUCUGAGUUGGAACUUCAAGAGGAUGAAGGGCCAUGGAAGGACCUGAGGAAGGAACGGCAGGUGUAAGGAGCUGGAGGCAGGAAUUGCCAUGUUGGCAUGUUCAAGGACAGAUGAAGACCAUCCCACAGCUGCGGGGCGGGUGGUAAGAGAUGGAACAAAUGGAACGGGUCCUGUAGUCAUAAUAGAAGCUAUCUUUCUCUCAACAAGUUUUUCUGAAGAAGGGGGAGCGGGGAGGAGAGACAAAGAAGAAGUGAACCUGAAGGUAGAAUUUUCCAGGAUGAAAGAAUAAGUGCAAAGAAGCUGAAGCAGGAACAUGCUCAGUUUGAGGAACAACAAGAAGAGCCAAGUGGAUGAAACAGGAACCGUAACUCUCCCGGCAACCUGGUUGUACAGAUAAAGAAGGCAAGUGCGACGUGACUUGCAAGGUCCCUUGUAUAAUAAGCAGAUUCGACAAUCAAACCCAGGUCCAAGGGAUUCCAGAGUCCAAGGCUUCUUCAAUUUUAAAACAUAUGCAUAGACAAAAAGUAACUGAAAGAAGCCUCAAAAGAUAAACUGAUCCAUGCCCUUGCCCUAGGUGAGCAACAGGACCAUCUUGGGUAGAACCACAGUUUCCACCCAAUGAGAACAAGGACAUCAGUGCAGGCACAGAAACAACACUUCUAGAACUGAGUUGAAGGCCAGCUUAAAUGGCACUUAAGGAGCCUGUUGUCAGAGGAGCCCUGGCUGCCAUCCCAGCUCCAUCAUCGGGAAGAGCCUUCAGGCUCUCAUUGCAUCUUUCAGCCUCUGAAAUGGGGAUAGUACUAUCUAUCCACCUGACCCACCUCCAGAGGACCAGUUUUUAGACCAGAAUAAGCAGCAUUCUUGAUGUGCAAAGCUCGUCCAAAAGAGAGACAUUAUCAUCACUUCGUAACCAAAACCAAGAGCUACCAGGCUCGUUCCAUUUUCACAGUGAAGAAAAUCCUGCCUCCGUGGAAUGAGACAUUUUGAACCUUUCUGCACUAAGAAUGAGUCAUCACAAGUCCUCGUUUUGAGAUGGCUGCUAACUAUAUAAUCAACUUAAAAUAAAUUAUUUGU